Molecule: long non-coding RNA, 1293 nt
Organism: Acanthochromis polyacanthus (spiny chromis)
Lineage: Eukaryota; Metazoa; Chordata; Actinopteri; Pomacentridae
Exons: 2
Source: RefSeq, a predicted model, not a curated record
AGGGUGGAGCCAAACAGAGUACGGUGCAUAGACUGUAAAUAAAUGGGGUUUUUUUUGUUAGUUUUUAUGGUCAAAAUGAAAUAUCAAGUGGCCGAUCUUAAAAUAAAUCAAUAUCGAUUUUUCAUUUAUUAAGUUUUGUGACGCAAGGGGGCGUGGUUACCUGAUUGACAGUUUGUCUGGAAUGACUGACAGUCUGGAGGAUGUAGCCGAGACUCUGCUCUCCUGGAUUGGAUUAAUUCUGAUAUGGUCACUGGUGGUUUAUCGGUGAAGAAGCAGAACCUUUUCUACAGACACUUUUCCUGCCUGUUGGCUUGUUUUAACCAUUUUGCUAUCUCCGGCUGAUUCUACCAGCAGACGCUGAAAGUUCGGUGUCUCAUGUUCACUGUGAGGAUCUUCUGAGUGAAGCCAACAGAAGGAAAACCUCAUCUGGUUGUGAAGAAGGAGACUGAAUGGACGACAUCCUCAGUGAACCACUUCCUGUUUAGCUUUCACUGACAGAAGGAAAGACCAAUUCUUUCAGCAGUUUAUUAUUCUCUGUUCUUAGUAUUCACAGAUUCUAUUUAUCACCUUUAACUUCAUCUCUGCUGCUGUAGCAGAAAUACAACAGGGUUUCUGCAGAGCAUUAAUAGUCAUUAAGUUGAUUUUGCAAAAAUUAAGGCCUUAAAUGGCAUUAAAAUCAUUAAAUAUGAUUAUCUGUGGCAUUAAAAUUUCUUUCUGCAGUUUUCAAGAAAAUAAUUGACAAUAAAAUAUAUUUAUAGACUGCAAUUUGUCAGAUAUGUGCAUCUGCAUAAACAUGCCAAAGCAUUGAGAUAAUUGUUCCAGCCGGUUGGGUACAAUUUCCAAAAACUGCAUGUUUUUAAAGUGGCUGGGAAAUGGGGAAACACAAAUUCAAGCAAAAAUGGCUCAAAAACGUGGAUUUCAGAGAAUGACUGCAGCCCAUUGGUGUUCAGGGGUGGUUCCCAGAUUCAGAAAUAGUCAAAUGUAGGGUUUUCAUAUAAAAAUAAUCUUUUACAAAAAAAACCCAAACCCAUGUAAUUUGAGUUCAUGGUCGUGGCAUUAAAAUUUUUACAGUAUAGCAUUAAAAUUGACUGAUAUCUGCAGAAACCCUGUACAAUAUAAAAAGUCAAUGUUAUUUGUAACAGAUACAUAGCAUUAAAACAUCAACACAUUCAGGUCAAGAGCUUCAUUAUUUCCUUCACUGCACAUUUAAAAACUGCAUUAUUUAACAAUUGUGAACUGUAAAGAUGUGUAAACACAUAAUAAAUGGAUGAAAUAAAUAAUGUGUUGCUGACA